GACGAACGCUGGCGGCGUGCUUAACACAUGCAAGUCGAACGAUGAAACCGGAGCUUGCUCCGGUGGAUUAGUGGCGAACGGGUGAGUAACACGUGAGUAACCUGCCCUUGACUCUGGGAUAACUGCGGGAAACUGUAGCUAAUACCGGAUACGACCCUCGGAGGCAUCUCCUGGGGGUGGAAAGAAUUUCGGUCAAGGAUGGACUCGCGGCCUAUCAGCUAGUUGGUGAGGUAACGGCUCAACAAGGCGACGACGGGUAGCCGGCCUGGGAGGGUGACCGGCCACACUGGGACUGAGACACGGCCCAGACUCCUACGGGAGGCAGCAGUGGGGAAUAUUGCACAAUGGGCGCAAGCCUGAUGCAGCAACGCCGCGUGAGGGAUGACGGCCUUCGGGUUGUAAACCUCUUUUAGCAGGGAAGAAGCGAAAGUGACGGUACCUGCAGAAAAAGCACCGGCUAACUACGUGCCAGCCGCCGCAGUAA
This 484-nucleotide ribosomal RNA is filed under the name uncultured bacterium. RNAcentral describes it as "partial 16S ribosomal RNA". It matches the Rfam family "Bacterial small subunit ribosomal RNA", at positions 28 to 523 of the family's 1533-position model. The record is from RNAcentral.